Molecule: ribosomal RNA, 361 nt
Filed under: uncultured bacterium
Lineage: Bacteria
Description: bacterial SSU rRNA
Rfam family: Bacterial small subunit ribosomal RNA
Source: RNAcentral
GACCGCGGGAAUUGGAUUCAGGCUUACCUCAUGCAAGUCGAGCGGGCGGAUGGGAGCUUGCUCCUUUAGGUCAGCGGCGGCCGGGUGAGUAACACCGUGGGUAACCUGCCUGUAAGCCUGGGAUAACUCCGGGAAUCCCGGGCUAAUUCCGGAUGCUUGACUGACCCGCAUGGUUCAAUCAUAAAAGGUGCCUUUUAGCUUCCCCUUGCAGAUGCACCCGCGGUCCAUUAGUUAGUUGGUGAGGUAACGGCUCUCCAAGGGGUCGAUGCGUAGCGGCCCUGAGAGGGUGAUCGCCCUCACUGGCAUUGAGGCGCGGCCCACCCUCCUACGGGGGGCACCAGUAGGGAAUUUUCCCCAGUGG